CCUACGGUGGGCAGCAGUGGGGAAUAUUGGACAAUGGGGGGAACCCUGAUCCAGCCAUGCCGCGUGUGUGAAGAAGGCCCUCGGGUUGUAAAGCACUUUCAGUGAGGAAGAACGCCUGGUGGUUAAUACCCAUCAGGAAAGACAUCACUCACAGAAGAAGCACCGGCUAACUCCGUGCCAGCAGCCGCGGUAAUACGGAGGGUGCGAGCGUUAAUCGGAAUUACUGGGCGUAAAGCGCGCGUAGGUGGCUUGAUAAGCCGGUUGUGAAAGCCCCGGGCUCAACCUGGGAACGGCAUCCGGAACUGUCAAGCUAGAGUGCAGGAGAGGAAGGUAGAAUUCCCGGUGUAGCGGUGAAAUGCGUAGAGAUCGGGAGGAAUACCAGUGGCGAAGGCGGCCUUCUGGACUGACACUGACACUGAGGUGCGAAAGCGUGGGUAGCAAACAGGAUUAGAUACCCUGGUAGUC
Molecule: ribosomal RNA, 465 nt
Filed under: Vreelandella stevensii
Lineage: Bacteria; Pseudomonadati; Pseudomonadota; Gammaproteobacteria; Oceanospirillales; Halomonadaceae
Description: partial 16S ribosomal RNA
Rfam family: Bacterial small subunit ribosomal RNA
Source: RNAcentral